Molecule: non-coding RNA, 72 nt
Organism: Ictidomys tridecemlineatus (thirteen-lined ground squirrel)
Lineage: Eukaryota; Metazoa; Chordata; Mammalia; Rodentia; Sciuridae
Source: Rfam
UGGGUUGGGGCUCAGUGGCAGAGCUCUUGUCUAGCAUGUGUGAGGCCCUGGGUUCGAUUCUCAGCACCGCAU